RNAcentral lists this ribosomal RNA (429 nucleotides) under Bacteroidota bacterium. RNAcentral describes it as "Bacteroidetes bacterium partial 16S ribosomal RNA". It matches the Rfam family "Bacterial small subunit ribosomal RNA", at positions 355 to 776 of the family's 1533-position model. The record is from RNAcentral. Lineage: Bacteria; Pseudomonadati; Bacteroidota.
UAGGGAAUCUUCGGCAAUGGGGGGAACCCUGACCGAGCAACGCCGCGUGAGUGAAGAAGGUUUUCGGAUCGUAAAGCUCUGUUGUUAAGGAAGAACGAGUGUGAGAAUGGAAAGUUCAUACUGUGACGGUACUUAACCAGAAAGGGACGGCUAACUACGUGCCAGCAGCCGCGGUAAUACGUAGGUCCCGAGCGUUGUCCGGAUUUAUUGGGCGUAAAGCGAGCGCAGGCGGUUAGAUAAGUCUGAAGUUAAAGGCAGUGGCUCAACCAUUGUAGGCUUUGGAAACUGUUUAACUUGAGUGCAGAAGGGGAGAGUGGAAUUCCAUGUGUAGCGGUGAAAUGCGUAGAUAUAUGGAGGAACACCGGUGGCGAAGGCGGCUCUCUGGUCUGUAACUGACGCUGAGGCUCGAAAGCGUGGGGAGCGAACAGG